GUCUUGGCGGCGGCUUCUUUUUCCCUUCUUCGGCGAAGAAAAUGGCCAGGCACCCAGGCGUCGACUGGUCGACGACGGCUCUGUUCCAACAAGUCCGCGUCGUCGGCGUCCGGCCGGGCGCGCUGCAAAGUCAUGACAGAAGAAAAAAAACAUGCGCGAGCGUGACGGGCAAGAAGACUCCAGCAGAUCGAGGUUAAUUGCUAGUACAUUUCAACUCUUGGCCGCGGCACAAACACGUGCUUGUCCCUCUGUUAAUUACUACUAUAUUGCUAGAUUUCAACUAAUAUAGGCGACAAAUAAAAAAGAACGGAGGGAGUAAUUAGCAUCUGGAAUCAAUCCAUAUAUAUAGGAGGAUUACAUACAUAUGCAUCUGCAUGCAGCUGGGCAUGGCGAGCGCGCUGGAGACGCUGUGCGGGCAGUCGUACGGGGCGAAGCAGUACCACAUGCUGGGCAUCUACCUGCAGCGGUCGUGGAUCAUCCUGUCGGCGUGCGCCGUGGUGCAGCUCCCCGUGUACCUGUUCACGGAGCCGCUGCUGGUGGCGCUGGGGCAGGACCCGGACAUCUCGGCGGUGGCGGGGACCGUGGCGCUCUGGUACAUCCCCGUGCUCUUCUCCUUCGUCUGGGCCUUCCCGCUGCAGAUGUACCUGCAGGCGCAGAUCAAGAACAUGAUCAUCACGUACCUCGCCAUGCUCAACCUCGGCCUCCACCUCGCCCUGUCCUGGCUCGCCGCCGUCCACCUCCGCCUCGGCCUCGCCGGCGUCAUGGGCUCCAUGGUCGUCGCCAUGUGGAUCCCCGUGUUCGGCCAGCUCGCCUUCGUCUUCUUCGGCGGAUGCCCUCUCACCUGGACCGGAUUCUCGUCCGCCGCCUUCGCCGACCUCGGCGCCAUCGUCAGGCUCUCGCUCUCUUCUGGUGUCAUGCUCUGGUAAGCAAAGCAAGCCACUGUGGUCUGUGGGUGUGGAUGGUAUCCAUCCGCAUCGUAGUCUUUUUUUCUAGAAUUUUGAAUUUAUCAUCAAGACUCCUCCCAUGGAAUAAUAAUUAAAACAUUAUACAUGUGCCCCCCUUUGGCCGUACCUUUCAGCUUGGAAUUGUGGUACAACACCAUACUGGUGCUCCUCACAGGAUACAUGAAGAAUGCGGAGAUCGCACUUGACGCCCUUUCGAUAUGGUAAUAUUAAAGGAACCCUAAUGAUAAUGUCCACAGAUCACUCUACACUUUCAUCACUUGCUAGCUGCUUUACUAAAUGUGCAGCCUUAACAUCAAUGGUUGGGAGAUGAUGAUCUCCAUAGGCUUCCUGGCUGCAACAGGGUACGUACGCAACCACAUCAGUUUCUUAUCUUUUUUUAAUAACCAUGCAUGCAACCUAACAAAACACAACGAACCACCUAUCUUUUUCAGAGUGCGAGUGGCGAACGAGCUGGGAGCUGGGAGCGCGAGGAGGGCCAAGUUCGCGAUCUACAACGUGGUCGUCACCUCCUUCGCCAUCGGGCUCGUGCUGUUCGUGCUCUUCCUCUUCUUCCGCGGGAGCCUCGCCUACAUAUUCACCGAGAGCCAGGCGGUGGCCGCAGCCGUCGCCGACCUCUCGCCCCUGCUGGCCUUCUCCAUACUGCUCAACAGCGUCCAGCCCGUGCUGUCAGGUGUCGCUGUUGGUGCCGGUUGGCAAGGCGUAGUCGCGUACGUCAACGUCACGUCGUACUACCUGAUCGGCAUUCCUCUUGGCGCAGUCCUAGGCUACGUGGUGGGGCUUCAUGUGAAGGUGAGGUGCUCUCAGAGCCUGGUAUAUAUACAUGUCCCAUGCAUGCAUGGUGUGUCUCUUAUUAUUAGUGCAUCCAGCUCGGCUCUAAUAAGUUGUCGAAAUGGACAUGUAUAUAUAUGGACAGGGCAUUUGGAUCGGAAUGCUGCUCGGAACGCUGGUCCAGACUAUCGUGCUUCUCUUCAUAACAGUAAAGACCGACUGGGACAAACAGGUUUGCUGCUUGCUCAGUGCGUGUGCGUUGUGCGUUGUGCUGUGGCUGAACAACUACAGUCUUAGCCGAGAACGGCAUUAAUGUGCUGAACUAUUAUGAACCCCCUCCCUCUCCCUAUCUGCAGGUGGUGGCCGCUCAAGAGAGGCUGAAGAAAUGGUACAUGGAAGAGAACAGAAGGAUGCAGGCCUCGAGGGGGAAUCCUUGAGCCGGUCCUUCAACCAACUUCAAGCCUGGCCUUUGUGGGUUGCUGAUUGACACAAUUUUAUGCUAAUAUUUCUACUAUUCAUCACCUCAACAUCAAAGUGAGCCCGGCAUUCCAGAUCGUGUGCUCCUCGAGCCAAGCAAUGGAAAGGCACUGUCACUGUCAGCAGCAGUAGGAUAACCAAAAAAAAACAUUGUGUUAUUUGCUAAGUGCGAGUUUGGCUCAAUUUUCGCUAAGUGAGAGAGAGCCUAUGUUGGCUAAGUGCGACUUUGGCUCAAUUUUGGGCGUAUGCUAAUAUGUUUCACAACAGGGCAGUGCUUGAGAUUUGGGAUAUCUGUAGCGCUAUAACUGACUCAAUUUUGGGCAUAUGCUAAUUUGCUAAGUGCGAACAAAUUCAUGCAGUUAUGGCCAUGCACUACUACACUUCGACAUGUGUGUGUAUAUACUCAGGUUCAUGAAAAUAGUGUGGUAGAUCGAUCGUGGGACUGAACCACAUAUUGAUCACAUCAAUUAGUAAUAAGGGACCUAGCGUCGUAUCGUAUCACAUUCUGCAACCAAACAUGAAAGGAACACAGAGAACACAACCAUAUUCACAGAGCACUACGCUAAUAACUGGAACAAAUUAUUUAGGUGCAAACUGUAUCGUCACCUUAAUCGAACUGGAGUGUCGACGACGAACAGGGCUACUGGAUGACAGGUAGUGUAGUUACGAAGCUGCAAUCACAACGUACAGGAAAAUAUUAGUAAGAAACUAAGAAUACAAGAUGAGGAAUGUUCGAAGUACUGAAUCGAACAGAUCACACCGAUAGCAUUUGAUACAUAUACAUCAAAGAAACACGAUUCGAAGGCAAAAAGGAAUCAAUGUCGCAGCCACAUAGCCGGACGUGGAAGGAUCCAUACCAAGUCAGAAGGGGGAACGAAUAGUACCAGAAGACGAUUCCGUGAAUAACAGCUAAUCGGCCGCGGCGAGAUGAACCACCGGGUACAGAAACAACACCCGCCAGUAAGGUAAGAGGGAAGGAUGGAAGCUUGGAGAGGGGGAAAACGCGAGAACCUGGUGGGGCGCGGCGACGACGGCCUAGCUGGAAGUGGCGGCGGUGAGCAGGCACGAAGGAUGAGAGCGGAACCCUAACGCGCGGGGGAGUGAGGCCACGGGUCUGCUCGGCCGAAUUUUUUUUUGUAUUUUAGCCCUUAAACAGAAGUAAAAUCACGUUUAGACCUAAAAAAAUUUUAAAUGCAGUUUUG
RNAcentral lists this long non-coding RNA (3412 nucleotides) under Zea mays. RNAcentral describes it as "long non-coding RNA (ZMAY_LNC000212)". The record is from RNAcentral. Lineage: Eukaryota; Viridiplantae; Streptophyta; Magnoliopsida; Poales; Poaceae.